UCUCCUGGAAAACGGGUGGUAAUGCCGGAUGCUCCAGUUGACCGCAUGGUCCUCUGGGAAAGCUUUUGCGGUAUGGGAUGGGGUCGCGUCCUAUCAGCUUGAUGGCGGGGUAACGGCCCACCAUGGCUUCGACGGGUAGCCGGCCUGAGAGGGCGACCGGCCACAUUGGGACUGAGAUACGGCCCAGACUCCUACGGGAGGCAGCAGUGGGGAAUAUUGCACAAUGGGCGCAAGCCUGAUGCAGCGACGCCGCGUGCGGGAUGACGGCCUUCGGGUUGUAAACCGCUUUUGACUGGGAGCAAGCCCUUCGGGGUGAGUGUACCUUUCGAAUAAGCACCGGCUAACUACGUGCCAGCAGCCGCGGUAAUACGUAGGGUGCAAGCGUUAUCCGGAAUUAUUGGGCGUAAAGGGCUCGUAGGCGGUUCGUCGCGUCCGGUGUGAAAGUCCAUCGCUUAACGGUGGAUCCGCGCCGGGUACGGGCGGGCUUGAGUGCGGUAGGGGAGACUGGAAUUCCCGGUGUAACGGUGGAAUGUGUAGAUAUCGGAAAAGAACACCA
Molecule: ribosomal RNA, 556 nt
Filed under: Bifidobacterium adolescentis
Lineage: Bacteria; Bacillati; Actinomycetota; Actinomycetes; Bifidobacteriales; Bifidobacteriaceae
Description: partial 16S ribosomal RNA
Rfam family: Bacterial small subunit ribosomal RNA
Source: RNAcentral